This 496-nucleotide ribosomal RNA is filed under the name uncultured bacterium. RNAcentral's name for it is "partial 16S ribosomal RNA". It matches the Rfam family "Bacterial small subunit ribosomal RNA", at positions 29 to 523 of the family's 1533-position model. The record is from RNAcentral.
AUUGAACGCUGGCGGCAUGCCUUACACAUGCAAGUCGAACGCGAAAGGGGGCAACCCUGAGUAGAGUGGCGAACGGGUGAGUAAUGCAUCGGAACGUGUCCUGUAGCGGGGGACAACCCCGAGAAAUCGGGGCUAAUACCGCAUACGUCCUACGGGAGAAAGUGGGGACCGCAAGGCCUCACACUAUAGGGGCGGCCGAUGCCGGAUUAGCUAGUUGGUGGGGUAAGAGCCCACCAAGGCGACGAUCCGUAGCUGGUCUGAGAGGAUGAUCAGCCACACUGGGACUGAGACACGGCCCAGACUCCUACGGGAGGCAGCAGUGGGGAAUUUUGGACAAUGGGCGCAAGCCUGAUCCAGCCAUGCCGCGUGAGUGAAGAAGGCCUUCGGGUUGUAAAGCUCUUUCGGCCGGGACGAAAUCGCUCUCGCUAAUAUCGGGAGUGGAUGACGGUACCGGAAUAAGAAGCACCGGCUAACUACGUGCCAGCCGCCGCCGUAA